Molecule: ribosomal RNA, 389 nt
Filed under: uncultured bacterium
Lineage: Bacteria
Description: bacterial SSU rRNA
Rfam family: Bacterial small subunit ribosomal RNA
Source: RNAcentral
AUUGAACGCUGGCGGCAUGCCUUACACAUGCAAGUCGAACGGCAGCACGGACUUCGGUCUGGUGGCGAGUGGCGAACGGGUGAGUAAUGUAUCGGAACGUACCUUUCAGUGGGGGGAUAACGUAGCGAAAGUUACGCUAAUACCGCAUAUUCUGUGAGCAGGAAAGCAGGGGAUCGCAAGACCUUGCGCUGAUUGAGCGGCCGAUAUCAGAUUGGCUAGUUGGUGGGUAAAGGCCUACCAAGGCGACGAUCUGUAGCGGGUCUGAGAGGAUGAUCCGCCACACUGGAACUGAGACACGGUCCAGACUCCUACGGGAGGCAGCAGUGGGGAAUUUUGGACAAUGGGGGCAACCCUGAUCCAGCCAUGCCGCGUGAGUGAAGAAGGCCUGG